This 484-nucleotide ribosomal RNA is filed under the name uncultured bacterium. Its description in RNAcentral is "partial 16S ribosomal RNA". It matches the Rfam family "Bacterial small subunit ribosomal RNA", at positions 30 to 507 of the family's 1533-position model. The record is from RNAcentral.
AUUGAACGCUAGCGGGAUGCUUUACACAUGCAAGUCGAACGGCAGCGCGGACUUCGGUCUGGCGGCGAGUGGCGAACGGGUGAGUAAUGUAUCGGAACGUGCCCAGUAGCGGGGGAUAACUACGCGAAAGCGUAGCUAAUACCGCAUACGCCCUACGGGGGAAAGCAGGGGAUCGUAAGACCUUGCACUAUUGGAGCGGCCGAUAUCGGAUUAGCUAGUUGGUGAGGUAACGGCUCACCAAGGCGACGAUCCGUAGCUGGUUUGAGAGGACGACCAGCCACACUGGGACUGAGACACGGCCCAGACUCCUACGGGAGGCAGCAGUGGGGAAUUUUGGACAAUGGGGGCAACCCUGAUCCAGCCAUCCCGCGCGUGCGAUGAAGGCCUUCGGGUUGUAAAGCACUUUUGGCAGGAAAGAAACGUCGCGGGCUAAUACCCCGUGGAACUGACGGUACCUGCAGAAUAAGCACCGGCUAACUACGUG